Molecule: long non-coding RNA, 262 nt
Filed under: Numida meleagris (helmeted guineafowl)
Lineage: Eukaryota; Metazoa; Chordata; Aves; Galliformes; Numididae
Description: lncRNA (ENSNMEG00000003003.1)
Source: RNAcentral
GGAAGGGGUUAAAGGGGAUUCCUGACCCACAAGUUGGGGGGCAGAAGGGGUUAAAGGGGAUUCCUGACCCCCAUGAUGGCAAGGAAGGGGUUAAAGGAGGAUUCCUGACCCACACUUGGGGGGCAGGAAGGGGUUAAAGGGGAUUCCUGACCCAUAAGUUGGGGGGCAGGAAGGGGUUAAAGGGGAUUCCUGACCCCCAUGACGGCAAGGAAGGGGUUAAAGGAGGAUUCCUGACCCACAAGUUGGGGGGCAGAAGGGGUUA